GGCUUAGAGUUUGAUCAUGGCUCAGGAUAAACGCUGGCGGCGCACAUAAGACAUGCAAGUCGAACGAACUUAACCUUAAUGUUUACAUUUAGGAGCGGUUAGUGGCGGACUGGUGAGUAACACGUAAGUAAUCUGCCUAUCAGAGGGGAAUAACAAUGAGAAAUCAUUGCUAAUACCGCAUAUGCUGUAAGGUUCGCAUGAACCAAGCAGGAAAGGAGCAAUCCGCUGAUAGAUGAGCUUGCGUCUGAUUAGCUAGUUGGUGUGGUAACGGCAUACCAAGGCAACGAUCAGUAGCCGAGCUGAGAGGCUCAACGGCCACAUUGGGACUGAGAUACGGCCCAGACUCCUACGGGAGGCAGCAGUCGGGAAUAUUGCACAAUGGAGGAAACUCUGAUGCAGUGACGCCGCGUGCAGGAAGAAGGUUUUCGGAUUGUAAACUGCUUUAGACAGGGAAGAAGAAAGACAGUACCUGUAGAAUAAGCUCCGGCUAACUACGUGCCAGCAGCCGCGGUAAUACGUAGGGAGCGAGCGUUAUCCGGAUUUAUUGGGUGUAAAGGGUGCGUAGACGGGAAAGUAAGUUGGUUUUGAAAGCCCUCGGCUUAACUGAGGAAUUGGAACCAAAACUAUUUUUCUUGAGUGCAGGAGAGGAAAGUGGAAUUCCUAGUGUAGCGGUGAAAUGCGUAGAUAUUAGGAGGAACACCAGUGGCGAAGGCGACUUUCUGGACUGUAACUGACGUUGAGGCACGAAAGUGUGGGGAGCAAACAGGAUUAGAUACCCUGGUAGUCCACACCGUAAACGAUGGAUACUAGGUGUAGGGGAUGAUUUCAUUUUCUGUGCCGUCGCAAACGCAGUAAGUAUCCCACCCUGGGAGUACG
RNAcentral lists this ribosomal RNA (876 nucleotides) under uncultured bacterium. RNAcentral's name for it is "bacterial SSU rRNA". It matches the Rfam family "Bacterial small subunit ribosomal RNA", at positions 1 to 884 of the family's 1533-position model. The record is from RNAcentral.